Pogona vitticeps (central bearded dragon) is the source of this 326-nucleotide non-coding RNA. Lineage: Eukaryota; Metazoa; Chordata; Lepidosauria; Squamata; Agamidae. The record is from RefSeq and is a predicted model, not a curated record.
GUGGCUGCAGGGCGCUUGUGGCUCCUGCUGGGCCUUCUCCGUCACGGGCAACGUGGAAGGGCAGUGGUUCCUGCGCAAGGGCUCCCUCGUCUCGCUCUCCGAGCAAGAGCUGGUCGACUGCGAUGCCCUGGAUCAGGCCUGUGGGGGUGGCCUGCCUUCCAAUGCUUACGAAGCCAUCGAAGGGUUAGGUGGCCUGGAGACCGAGCGGGACUACAGCUACGAAGGGUUCGCGCAGAAAUGCGACUUCUCGAAGGACAAGGUGGCCGUGUACAUCAACAGCUCCGUGGGCAUCUCCCGCGACGAGAAGGGUACGUGGGUGGGAGGAG